UUAUAAGGGCAUUCAAUGGAUAAUUAGAUAUGAAAAGUUUAAAGGACGUUUUUUUGACGAAAUUCAAAGGUAGGUAAAAACCUGUGAACUUUGAGUAUCCUAGAGUAUAAAAGUACACUCUUGUUGAGUUUGAAGAAACUUUGUGAAUUGAACCAUCUUAGUAACAAAAGGAAAAGAAAUCAAACGAGAUUUCGUAAGUAGUGGUGAGCGAAAGCGAAACUAGGCAAAACAUUAAAAUUUAAUCGUAUGAAACUGCCAUAGAAGGUAUAAGCCCUGUAAUACGAAAAAUUUUAAUUUUGAAAGUAAUAUGGAUUGCAAUCCUAUAUAAUUUGGGAAUUCCACUUUCUAAGCCUAAAUACUUUUCAUAAUCGAUAGUGAAUAAGUACCGUGAGGGAAUAUUGUAAAGACGGGUUAAAAACCCAAAUUAUGAACUAGAAAUUGGAUGCUUACAAACAGUUGUGGUAUAGAAUAUAUUACAACGUACCUUUUGUAUAAUGGACCAACAAGUGAAAAAUUAUAGCGAGUCUAAUUUUUAAAAAGAAGGCUGAGAGAAAUCAAUUUUUAUUAGUUAUAAUUUUUCGACCCGAAGCUAAGUGAUCUAAUCAAGAGCAGAUUGAAGUUGCAUGAACGAUAUGUAAUGGAGGAUCGAACCCUUAUAUGUGGCAAAAUAUUGGGAUGACUUUUGAUUAGGAGUGAAAGGCUAAACAAACUUAGCGAUAGCUGGUUUUCUGCGAAAUCUAUUUUAGUAGAGUGUCUUUUAAGUUUUUCUCAGGUAGAGCUCUUAACAGAAAAGGGUGAUUUUCAAUCUUACUAAUUCUGUUUAAACUUCGAAUUGAGUUAAAUUAUUUUAAGGCAAACAAACAUUGGGCGAUAAGGUUCAAUGUUGAGAGGGCAAUAACCCAGACCUCAUGCUAAGGUUCUUAAAUAACAUAUAAAAAUGGAAGGCAGUUAAUAUAGCACGAUAUGAUAAGGUAGGCUUAGAAGCAGCAUCCAUUGUAAAACGCGUUAUAGCGUAUCAUUUUAUAUAUUAAUUCCAAAGAUGAAGGGAAAUAAAUAUGUUUACCGAAGCAUAGGAUUUAUAUAUUUAUAUAUAUAAAUGGUAGCAGAACGUUCUAUUUAGAUCAUUUGUUUAAAUUCGUGAGAAUUUAAACGAUUAGAUUAGGAGUGAGAAUGUUGGUAUGAGUAGCGAAAAUUUUGUUAAGAAUCAUGAUCGUCGAAAAUCCAAGGUUUUCUAUGCAAUUUUAACCACAUAGAGUCAAUCGGUUUUUAAAGUGCUACAUGAAAAUGUAACGUUGAUAAAAUUAAUGUGAAAAAUCUUUAAUUAUUUAUAGGAAAUGUUUAAAGACAUGACAAAAGUUUGGUACUGAUUAUGAAUAAAUAGAUUUUUUCUAUUCAGUAUUAAAUUUUUUAAAAAAUAACUAUAAAUUUAGUAACCGUACCUAAAACUGACACUAGUGGAUUAGUUGAAUAAACUUAGACGAUUGGGGGAAUCAUAUUGAAAGAACUCGGCAAAUUUGCUCCGUAAGUUCGCGAGAAGGAGUGUCACAUUUAUUGUGAUGGCACUAAAGAGGGAGUGGCGACUGUUUAUUAAAAACACAAGACUUUGCAAAUUCGUAAGAAGAAGUAUAAGGUCUGACGUUUGCCAGGUGCUUGUCGGUUAAUUUAUAAGGUUAAAGCUUUAUAAUUAAACCCAAGUAAACGGCGGUCCUAACUAUAAGGAUCCUAAGGUAGCGUAACCCACUGACGUAUAAUUUACGUCCUGCAUGAAUAACGUAACGACUGCUCCACUGUUUCCAGUAUGAUCCCAGCGAAAUUGAAUUCUCCGUGAAGAUGCGGAGUACCUGUAGUUAGACGGAAAGACCCCGUGAUUCUUUACUAUAAUUUUACAUUGAUAUCGCAAAAAAUAUGUAUAGCAUAGGUGGGAGUUUUAUUCAUUCUUGAAUAAAACAUAAGUGGAAUACCACCCUUAUUUUUUGAGGUAUCUAACUUUUUUAUAGAAGAAGGACAUUGUAAAAUUGGUAGUUUAUUUGGGGCGAAUACCUCCUAAAAUGUAACGGAGGUGUACAAAGGUAAAUAAGUAUUCAUCUUUGAAUGAAUACUUAAGUGCAAUGGCUUAAAUUUGCUUGAUAAAAUCACUUAUAAGUGAUUUUAGAACGAAAGUUGGUCAUAGUGAUCCGAUAACACUUUGUGGAAAGGUUAUCGCUUAUCAGAUAAAAGAAACUCCGGGGAUAACAGCGUUAUCGUUCCUGAGAGUCCUUAUCGACGGAACGGUUUGCGACCUCGAUGUCGGCUCAUCAUAUCCUGGGGCUGCAGCAGGUCCCAAGGGUCCGGGUGUUCACCGGUUAAAAUGGUACGUGAGCUGGGUUUAAAACGUCGUGAGACAGUUUGGUCCCUAUCUGCUACAGGCGUCGAAAAUUGAGGAAAUUCAUUUCUAGUACGAGAGGAUUGAAAUGAGUUAAUCAAUGGUGAACCAGUUGUUUUUAAUCAAAGCAUAGCUGGGUAGCUACAUUAAUAUAAUAUAAACACUGAAAGCAUAUAAGUGUGAAAAUUUUUCCAAGAUGAAUUUUCGAGAAUAUUCUGAAAGAUUAUCAGAUAGAUCGGUCUAAGGUUAAUGUUUUGUAAGAAACAGGCCGAUAGAUACGAAGAUUAUCAUAUCUCAUGUUUGAAAACGGAAUGUAUUCCGUUUUCAAACAUGAUUAUAAAUUGAUGAAGAUGAUAAUGUUAAUUU
RNAcentral lists this ribosomal RNA (2728 nucleotides) under Cyanidioschyzon merolae. RNAcentral's name for it is "bacterial LSU rRNA". It matches the Rfam family "Bacterial large subunit ribosomal RNA". The record is from RNAcentral. Lineage: Eukaryota; Rhodophyta; Bangiophyceae; Cyanidiales; Cyanidiaceae.